UCCCACGUGGUCUAGUGGCUAGGAUACCUGGCUUUCACCCAGGCGGGCCCGGGUUCGAUUCCCGGCGUGGGAA
This 73-nucleotide transfer RNA is filed under the name Cordylochernes scorpioides. RNAcentral's name for it is "tRNA-Glu". It matches the Rfam family "tRNA". Rfam says of the family: Transfer RNA (tRNA) molecules are approximately 80 nucleotides in length. The record is from RNAcentral. Lineage: Eukaryota; Metazoa; Arthropoda; Arachnida; Pseudoscorpiones; Chernetidae.